AAUCAACGCUGGCGGCGUGCCUAACACAUGCAAGUCGAACGCGAAAGCCCCUUCGGGGGUAAGUAGAGUGGCGUCCGGGUGAGUAACACGUAGGUAAUCUACCUUCGGGUGGGGAAUAACCAGUCGAAAGAUUGGCUAAUACCGCAUAAUGCAGCGGCACCUAAUGGUGAUUAGUUGUUAAAGCGGGGGAUCGUAAGACCUCGCGCCUGAAGAGGAGCCUGCGGCAGAUUAGCUAGUU
This 238-nucleotide ribosomal RNA is filed under the name uncultured bacterium. RNAcentral's name for it is "partial 16S ribosomal RNA". It matches the Rfam family "Bacterial small subunit ribosomal RNA", at positions 32 to 250 of the family's 1533-position model. The record is from RNAcentral.